Molecule: long non-coding RNA, 978 nt
Organism: Podarcis muralis (Common wall lizard)
Lineage: Eukaryota; Metazoa; Chordata; Lepidosauria; Squamata; Lacertidae
Source: RefSeq, a predicted model, not a curated record
UCAGAAACAGAAAAAUGCUGAAAGCAUAGGCUGGUUUCUGUUUAGUUUAUCCCAAAAUAUCCCUGCAAGUUUUCAACUUCCUUAAGUCCCUCACCACCAAAUUCUGCCCUCUCACCAAGCAAAAACAUAUGCUUCUCCCUCGGCUUCCUGCUUGUAUGUGAUCACUUCCUCUCUCAGUGUUGUUUUGAGGUGGUGGAGAGGAGCUACAGCUGGAGGGCAAGCUCAAUUGCUCCCCUUCAUUGCCACCUGCCAUGGUUUUCCUCCUCUGUGUAGCUUGCAAUAUUCACUGUGGAGUUCAGGAACCCAGCAAAGCAUAGAAGAUGCUAGAAGGUGAGCACACAAAUAAACAGCCUGCAAGGAAACAAAGGUGGAAGAAACUGGGCAGUGAUUUUUGAAGAAGUCCUUCUCCCUGAGGUACAGCAGCAGUUGGAAAACUGUGUGCGGCUUCAUUAGCUAAUCAGAGAAGACUGGCUGGGAAAAGAGCUGCAUGAGGAAGUGGUGUCACAUCUACUGGAUCCUAACUGAGGCACUACACACACACACCCAUGCAACACAGACUGACAAGCACAAAUAUGUUCUGUCAAAUGUUACAUUAUCUCCAGGAUUUGGCAGCAGCCCCUGCAGAUGUUGAGUCAGGAGUGGGUGCAGCUUGUUAUGCCCUUGGGCCUUUACCUUUUCUCUACCGUCGACUUCCACCCCCACAUGUUCAUCUCUCCUUAUUUAAAAAGGGAAUGGACCCACUCAGGUUGAAAAGCAGCUUGAUGAAGAAGACAGAAACAGUUAAGGAGCCUCUCUCCCAUGCCUGCUAUACUUUCACUGAAAUCUCAGAAGAUGCUUUUGAAUAAAUACAGAAAUGAUAAAAUGUGGCUUACAAUAUAACAUUUCACUUGUCCCUAACCCCAAUUAUUGUAAGUGUUUGGUGAAAAAAAGCUUAACAUUUGUUCAGCAACCACCAAGGCUCUCUCUGUCUCUCUAUGC